This 574-nucleotide ribosomal RNA is filed under the name uncultured bacterium. RNAcentral's name for it is "partial 16S ribosomal RNA". It matches the Rfam family "Bacterial small subunit ribosomal RNA", at positions 355 to 920 of the family's 1533-position model. The record is from RNAcentral.
UGGGGAAUUUUGGACAAUUGGGCGAAAGCCUGAUCCAGCAAUGCCGCGUGUGUGAAGAAGGCCUUCGGGUUGUAAAGCACUUUUGUCCGGAAAGAAAUCCUUGGCUCUAAUACAGUCGGGGGAUGACGGUACCGGAAGAAUAAGCACCGGCUAACUACGUGCCAGCAGCCGCGGUAAUACGUAGGGUGCAAGCGUUAAUCGGAAUUACUGGGCGUAAAGCGUGCGCAGGCGGUUUGCUAAGACCGAUGUGAAAUCCCCGGGCUCAACCUGGGAACUGCAUUGGUGACUGGCAGGCUAGAGUAUGGCAGAGGGGGGUAGAAUUCCACGUGUAGCAGUGAAAUGCGUAGAGAUGUGGAGGAAUACCGAUGGCGAAGGCAGCCCCCUGGGCCAAUACUGACGCUCAUGCACGAAAGCGUGGGGAGCAAACAGGAUUAGAUACCCUGGUAGUCCACGCCCUAAACGAUGUCAACUAGUUGUUGGGGAUUCAUUUCCUUAGUAACGUAGCUAACGCGUGAAGUUGACCGCCUGGGGGAGUACGGUCGCAAGAUUAAAACACAAAUGAAUUGACGGGGUC